This 688-nucleotide ribosomal RNA is filed under the name uncultured Cortinariaceae. RNAcentral describes it as "eukaryotic LSU rRNA". The stretch from base 259 to 412 matches the Rfam family "5.8S ribosomal RNA". The record is from RNAcentral. Lineage: Eukaryota; Fungi; Basidiomycota; Agaricomycetes; Agaricales; Cortinariaceae.
AGGAUCAUUAUCGUAUAAACUUGAACAGGCUGUUGCUGGCNNUCUGGGGUGUGUGCACGCUUGUCUCAUCUUUGUCAUUUCUCCAACUGUGCACAUUUUGUAGAUCCUUGGAUUUGAACUCACGUUCGAGAUGGGACUGCCGUCGCUUUUUCUCUGGGAGAAGGCCGGCUUUUCCUUGUAUCUUUUCCAGGUCUAUGUCACUUUUUUCACAAUCUCUUGAAUAUGUCUAGAAUGUUUGUCGGAUAUAUAAUAAUAUACAACUUUCAGCAACGGAUCUCUUGGCUCUCGCAUCGAUGAAGAACGCAGCGAAAUGCGAUAAGUAAUGUGAAUUGCAGAAUUCAGUGAAUCAUCGAAUCUUUGAACGCAUCUUGCGCUCCUUGGUAUUCCGAGGAGCAUGCCUGUUUGAGUGUCAUUUAACUUAUCAACCACUUUCUCAUUGUCUGAAUGUGGCUUGGAUGGUGGGGGCUCUUUGCAGGCCUUUUCUUUUAGGUCGGCUCCCCUGAAACGCAUUAGUGGCAUCUGAGCUGCUACUGUAGGUGUGAUAAAUUAUCUAUGCCUUUGGUAUGCUGCAUGGACAGAUUGCGCUGCUCAAAACAAAAAUUGACAGACUUGACCUCAAAUCAGGUAGGACUACCCGCUGAACUUAAGCAUAUCAAUAAGCGGAGGAAAAGAAACUAACAAGGAUUCC